GACGAACGCUGGCGGCGUGCUUAACACAUGCAAGUCGAACGGUAAGGCCCUUCGGGGUACACGAGUGGCGAACGGGUGAGUAACACGUGGGUGAUCUGCCCUGCACUUCGGGAUAAGCCUGGGAAACUGGGUCUAAUACCGGAUAGGACUCCUGGCUUCAUGGUUGGGGGUGGACAGCUUUUGCGGUGUGGGAGGGGCCCGCGGCCUAUCAGCUUGUUGGUGGGGUAAUGGCCUACCAGGGCGACGACGGGUUGCCGGCCUGAGAGUGGUGACCGGUCACACUGGGACUGAGAUACGGCCCAGACUCCUACGGGAGGCAGCAGUGGGGAAUAUUGCACAAUGGGCGCAAGCCUGAUGCAGCGACGCCGCGUGAGGGAUGACGGCCUUCGGGUUGUAAACCUCUUUCAGCUAUGACGAAGCGCAAGUGACGGUAGUAGCAGAAGAAGGACCGGCCAACUACGUGCCAGCCGCCGCCGUAA
RNAcentral lists this ribosomal RNA (479 nucleotides) under uncultured bacterium. RNAcentral describes it as "partial 16S ribosomal RNA". It matches the Rfam family "Bacterial small subunit ribosomal RNA", at positions 28 to 523 of the family's 1533-position model. The record is from RNAcentral.